AUAUAAGCACUCGAUCUAGAACAACGCGCUGAAAAUGAAAUUUCUCGUAAUCUCUUUGUUUGCAGUGUGUUGCAUCAGUUGUUGUGUGGCUGAGUACAACAAACAGCAGUUGCGUCAAAUAUUGGGCAUUGCUAGAAAUUGUUACCAAAAAAUCGGCAUACCUACAGAUUCCAACGUGGUCGAACGAAUUACUUUCCAGCAAAAUGUGACUUACAACGAAGAAGAGCUAAAAUACAUACUGUGCUUCCAACAAGAGGCUGGCUGGUUUGACGUCGAUGACAAUUUCGUGCUGGAACCAAUUGUUGAUUUUUGUAUGCAGAAUAAUGCAGUUGAUCGAGGACAAGUAAAGGAAUCCAUCAAUAAGUGUAUCAUUAGGUCUAAUGGAUUGGUUUUAAUCGAGAAAGCUCGCAAAUUUUACGAUUGUUUCUACGAAAAUAAACAAUUCUUGUUUUAAAUGAC
Long non-coding RNA from Culex quinquefasciatus (southern house mosquito), 459 nucleotides. RefSeq lists it as uncharacterized. The record is from RefSeq and is a predicted model, not a curated record. The transcript has 3 exons. Lineage: Eukaryota; Metazoa; Arthropoda; Insecta; Diptera; Culicidae.